This 253-nucleotide ribosomal RNA is filed under the name uncultured bacterium. RNAcentral describes it as "partial 16S ribosomal RNA". It matches the Rfam family "Bacterial small subunit ribosomal RNA", at positions 524 to 776 of the family's 1533-position model. The record is from RNAcentral.
UACGAAGGGUGCAAACGUUGCUCGGAAUCAUUGGGCGUAAAGCGCACGUAGGCGGCCUUGUAAGUCGGAUGUGAAAUCCCACGGCUCAACUGUGGAAGUGCAUCCGAAACUGCGGGGCUCGAGUAUGGAAGAGGGUCGCAGAAUUCCCGGUGUAGAGGUGAAAUUCGUAGAUAUCGGGAGGAAUACCAGUGGCGAAGGCGGCGACCUGGGCCAAUACUGACGCUGAGGUGCGAAAGCGUGGGGAGCAAACAGG